CCUACGGGUGGCAGCAGUGGGGAAUAUUGGACAAUGGGCGAAAGCCUGAUCCAGCCAUGCCGCGUGUGUGAAGAAGGCCUUCGGGUUGUAAAGCACUUUCAGUGGGGAAGAAAGCCUUGGGGCUAAUACCCUCGAGGAGGGACAUCACCCACAGAAGAAGCACCGGCUAACUCCGUGCCAGCAGCCGCGGUAAGACGGAGGGUGCGAGCGUUAAUCGGAAUUACUGGGCGUAAAGCGCGCGUAGGCGGUCUGAUAAGCCGGUUGUGAAAGCCCCGGGCUCAACCUGGGAACGGCAUCCGGAACUGUCAGGCUAGAGUGCAGGAGAGGAAGGUAGAAUUCCCGGUGUAGCGGUGAAAUGCGUAGAGAUCGGGAGGAAUACCAGUGGCGAAGGCGGCCUUCUGGACUGACACUGACGCUGAGGUGCGAAAGCGUGGGUAGCAAACAGGAUUAGAUACCCCUGUAGUC
Molecule: ribosomal RNA, 465 nt
Filed under: Vreelandella stevensii
Lineage: Bacteria; Pseudomonadati; Pseudomonadota; Gammaproteobacteria; Oceanospirillales; Halomonadaceae
Description: partial 16S ribosomal RNA
Rfam family: Bacterial small subunit ribosomal RNA
Source: RNAcentral